UAAACCACUCUCGGCAACGGAUAUCUCGGCUCACGCAUCGAUGAAGAACGUAGCAAAAUGCGAUACUUGGUGUGAAUUGCAGAAUCCCGUGAACCAUCGAGUUUUUGAACGCAAGUUGCGCCCGAAGCCUUUUGGCCGAGGGCACGUCUGCCUGGGCGUCACAC
RNAcentral lists this ribosomal RNA (164 nucleotides) under Senecio massaicus. RNAcentral describes it as "5.8S ribosomal RNA". It matches the Rfam family "5.8S ribosomal RNA". From Rfam's summary of the family: 5.8S ribosomal RNA (5.8S rRNA) is a component of the large subunit of the eukaryotic ribosome. It is transcribed by RNA polymerase I as part of the 45S precursor that also contains 18S and 28S rRNA. Functionally, it is thought that 5.8S rRNA may be involved in ribosome translocation. Lineage: Eukaryota; Viridiplantae; Streptophyta; Magnoliopsida; Asterales; Asteraceae. The record is from RNAcentral.